GACGAACGCUGGCGGCGUGCCUAAUACAUGCAAGUCGAGCGAAGUUUUUCUGGUGCUUGCACUAGAAAAACUUAGCGGCGAACGGGUGAGUAACACGUAAAGAACCUGCCUCAUAGACUGGGACAACUAUUGGAAACGAUAGCUAAUACCGGAUAACAGUAUUUCUCGCAUGAGAGAUAUUUAAAAGUUGGUUAUGCUAACACUAUGAGAUGGCUUUGCGGUGCAUUAGCUAGUUGGUGGGGUAAAGGCCCACCAAGGCGACGAUGCAUAGCCGACCUGAGGGGGGGAUCGGCCACCCGGGGACUGACACCCGGCCCAGCCGCCUAGGGGGGGCAGGAGUGGGAAAUCUUCCGCAAGGGGCGAAAGCCUGACGGAGCAACGCCGGGGGAGUGAAGAAGGUUUUCGGUUCGUAAAGCUCUUUUGUUGGGAAAAAAUGGAUAUGUAGUAACUAUACUUGUAAGGGACGGUACCUACCCAAAAAGCCCCGGCUAACUCCGG
This 498-nucleotide ribosomal RNA is filed under the name uncultured bacterium. Its description in RNAcentral is "partial 16S ribosomal RNA". It matches the Rfam family "Bacterial small subunit ribosomal RNA", at positions 28 to 506 of the family's 1533-position model. The record is from RNAcentral.